UACGAAGGGGGCUAGCGUUGCUCGGAAUCACUGGGCGUAAAGGGCGCGUAGGCGGAUCUUUAAGUCGGGGGUGAAAGCCCAGGGCUCAACCCUGGAAUUGCCUUCGAUACUGGAGAUCUUGAGACCGGAAGAGGUAAGUGGAACUGCGAGUGUAGAGGUGAAAUUCGUAGAUAUUCGCAAGAACACCAGUGGCGAAGGCGGCUUACUGGUCCGGUUCUGACGCUGAGGAGCGAAAGCCAGGGGAGCAAACGGG
Molecule: ribosomal RNA, 253 nt
Filed under: uncultured bacterium
Lineage: Bacteria
Description: partial 16S ribosomal RNA
Rfam family: Bacterial small subunit ribosomal RNA
Source: RNAcentral